RNAcentral lists this ribosomal RNA (644 nucleotides) under Porites astreoides. RNAcentral describes it as "eukaryotic LSU rRNA". The stretch from base 214 to 367 matches the Rfam family "5.8S ribosomal RNA". Lineage: Eukaryota; Metazoa; Cnidaria; Anthozoa; Scleractinia; Poritidae. The record is from RNAcentral.
ACGAUAGAUCUGAAAACAACAUUAACCAGUGUGAACCGUAAAACAACUCUUUUAGGGGUCGGCACAGGCGUGUGUCGUUAAAUGGCGGAUAGGUUCCUUCCGCCAGCCCCGCCAUUGUGUUUAUUAUAUCGCUUUGAACGUUAAAGACUGAGAACGUAAGUAAUUGAUGUGUGCGAACAGCGUGCAUUAAUUAUGAGAAAGAAAGAAAAAGACAACUUUUGACGGUGGAUCUCUUGGCUCACGUAUCGAUGAAGAACGCAGCCAGCUGCGAUAUGUAGUGUGAAUUGCAGAAUUCAGUGAAUCAUUGAAUCUUUGAACGCAAAUGGCGCUCUUGGGUUCUCCCAGGAGCAUGUCUGUCUGAGUGUCGGAUUUUAUCGAACGCGCAUGAAUGUGUGCGGUAUUGAGGUGUCACGGCGUGUUAGAUCGUUAGAUAAAUAUCGCCGUGUCCCUUGAAGGACAGCAGCAUUGGACUCGCAUUCUCUAUUGAAACUUGAGUGCGAAGGCUAAAGAUGAUAUUUUCCUUCGCCCCAAAAUCCAAUAGGGUUAGGAGAAAUGUGGACAGUCCUUGCUGAAAGAAAGCAAAGCGGUGACAAAAAAUUUCAAAUCUUGACCUCAGAUCAGGCAAGGCUACCCGCUGGAUUUAA